AAAAGAAAAAAGUGAUAGGAGAUGGAUAGAAGAAAAUCCUCAUACAGAACAUAUUCUUUAUUUUGAUCAGCAUUUUCAGAAUGCUAUGCCUCAGUAUGUAAAGGUUACGCUUGUAUAGUGCCAUCAAAAUAUCUUUAUUUAGCAAUAAAACAAGAAAAUUCACGAAAAAUGUUUCCCAGCUCGAUCUCUUCGAAUUUCAGUCUUUCCACCGGCGCCAAUGAAUUGCUCAAAAACCUUUCCCAUAUCGGAUUGCUCUGAAGCCUCUCUUUGGACGGACAUCAAGUCUCUCUUCUCCAUCAAUCUAAUUUAAAUAAAACGAUUCUUUCACUUUAUAUCAUAUUUUAUUAAAUAAAAGACAAAACAAAACCUAACCAAACAAAGCAUCAUUCAAAGUUAAAAUUCUACAUUAAUUUAUACAUAUAUAACAACCAUACAAAAAUAACCUUAGCUAAGAACUAUACAUGAUUAAAAGAUUCUCUAUUUGUUUAUAAUUUUUAUUUUUGUGCAACAUCAAUUUGUCGUCAUCAAAACCAUUUAACCCUAGUCAUUCUCCUUGAAUUCUAUCUUCAACUCAAUUUCAAUAUUCUUUAAGUCUUCCCCCUCGUCAUUUAUAGAAUUAUUAGAGCAUGUGAAGUUGGAUUCUCUUACAAUUAACAAAAAAUGCUUUAUUGUUUCGAAUGGGUGGUAAUUGGUUUUGUUAGAAAGACUUUAAGAAUCCGUUAGGAGCUUCUACAUUGGUAGAGACCCAAUAGAUAUCUUAAUAAUAAAAAUAAGAGAAAAUAGAAAAAAUAAGAGAGAAAACAGGAGAAAUAGGAGACAUUGGUCCAAAACUACAGAAAUAGCCAUUUCAUACUCGUACAAUCUCAAAAUUGCCGAUUUCCUUUAAUCUAGGUAGGUUUUAAAAUAUAUUAAAUUAAUUAAUGAAAAGACCCGACCCGUUUUUUUUAAUUCAUUAAUUAAUAGUCUCAUACCUACUAAUUAACCUAACCGAAUUAACCCAACAAUAAAUCAUCAUGCACAGCGGAAACAUAUUAAACCAACAUCAAUUAAUCAUAAUAUUAAUUCAUCAAUCAUUCAAUAACCACAAUUUACACUAGCAACCUAGCAUGCCUCUAAACCAGGUUCCAACAACAAUUAACAUAUUCAUAAACAUAACAACCGAGACCCUAUAUCAUCCUCAUCUCCUCGCCAUGAUUCCACGGAUCACACUAUACCUGCACCACAAACACAAUGAGAUGCGUGAGUAUUAUCACAAAUACUCAGUGAGAGCGAUCCUCCCAUCUACGAGCUAUACACACAAGCUAUGAGAUAACACCCACAUAUAUAACAUAAACAAACCAUUCAUCAAGCUAAACAUCCAAUAACACUUCCAAUUCACCUACAAAUCAUCACAAACAAGUCACUCAAUCCCAAUCGCUUAGAUAAGCUCAUGGUCACGCAUUCACCUUAACAAAGUGAUUUGAAUAACAAAAACAACCAGGAAAGACUCUCCUCGCGACUGCAACAGCCAAACAACGCCCUACAACAAACCACACAAACAAAAAUCUCUAAGAACCAAAAGGACAGAAACAGCAGAAAACCUACAGCCGCAGAAACGAAGCCCUAAAACAUAAACCAAGCGUUAACUUCUUAAUCCCUUCGGUGGAAAGCAAGACUUAGACGUCACGAAUCUCCCCAUAAAAUUUGGUGCCGAUCGGAGAAACGAUGAAAUCACGAUCGCACUUACAAACUCCGCUGAUCCCAAUUCGCAACAGAGAAGAAGCGUCUCACCAAGCUGCAUAUAACUAACUGAGUAUUAAUCCGAAUUCACUUCUGUUAAAACGAGAAUCAACGUACACGCCUUUGGAACAAACCUACCAAAAUUCAUUACCUUUCGAUAAGAUUUGAUACGUCGGAAGUCUAUUCUACCAAGACGUGACGAAUCUGCUUCUCUUGCUUUAAACACCAAAGCAAAG
Molecule: long non-coding RNA, 1955 nt
Filed under: Capsella rubella
Lineage: Eukaryota; Viridiplantae; Streptophyta; Magnoliopsida; Brassicales; Brassicaceae
Description: long non-coding RNA (CRUB_LNC003161)
Source: RNAcentral